Molecule: ribosomal RNA, 367 nt
Filed under: uncultured bacterium
Lineage: Bacteria
Description: bacterial SSU rRNA
Rfam family: Bacterial small subunit ribosomal RNA
Source: RNAcentral
GAAGGUGGCAAGCGUUGUUCGGAUUUACUGGGCGUACAGGGAGCGUAGGCGGUUGGAUAAGCCCUCCGUGAAAUCUCCAGGCUUAACCUGGAAAGUGCAGAGGGGACUGUUCAGCUAGAGGAUGGGAGAGGAGCGCGGAAUUCCCGGUGUAGCGGUGAAAUGCGUAGAGAUCGGGAGGAAGGCCGGUGGCGAAGGCGGCGCUCUGGAACAUUUCUGACGCUGAGGCUCGAAAGCGUCGGGAGCAAACAGGAUUAGAUACCCUGGUAGUCCACGCCUUAAACGAUGGAUACUAAGUGUCGGCGGGUUACCGCCGGUGCCGCAGCUAACGCAGUAAGUAUCCCGCCUGGGAAGUACGGCCGCAAGGUUG